AUCGCUCAUAGCGUAUAUUAAGUUGUUGCGGUUAAAAGCUCGUAGUUGGAUUUCAGUUCUGGACUGACGGUUCACCGCCCGGUGCACACUGUCACGCUCCGAACAGCCACAACAGCCCGCUGGCUCGCACGGGGUGCUCUUCAUCGAGUGUCCCGCGUGGCCGGCAGAGUUUACUUUGAAAAAAUUAGAGUGCUCAAAGCAGGCUACACUGACGGCCUGAAUGCCUAUGCAUGGAAUAAUGGAAUAGGACCUCGGUUCUAUUUUGUCGGUUUUCUGAACCCGAGGUAAUGACUAAUAGGAACAGGCGGGGGCAUUCGUAUUGCGACGCUAGAGGUGAAAUUCUUGGACCGUCGCAAGACGAACUACUGCGAAAGCAUUUGCCAAGGAUGUUUUCAUUAAUCAAGAACGAAAGUUAGAGGUUCGAAGACGAUCAGAAUACCGCCA
Molecule: ribosomal RNA, 444 nt
Filed under: Rhithropanopeus harrisii
Lineage: Eukaryota; Metazoa; Arthropoda; Malacostraca; Decapoda; Panopeidae
Description: SSU rRNA
Rfam family: Eukaryotic small subunit ribosomal RNA
Source: RNAcentral